Drosophila virilis is the source of this 2523-nucleotide non-coding RNA. NCBI's taxonomy places the organism in Eukaryota, Metazoa, Arthropoda, Insecta, Diptera, Drosophilidae. The record is from RefSeq and is a predicted model, not a curated record.
GAAGGCAAGCGACAACUUUAUAUAAGAAAUUUAAAAUUAGAAUAGCCCCACAGUUUUUAGAAUUUAAACAUGGCGAAAUGUCGAAAAGAGUACCUGAAGUGGAGCCAUUACGUCGAGAGCGCAAUUUUUGCGUUUUAGAAGAAAAACUUUACGGUGCCUUUGUAAAUUAAAGCAACUUAUGUAAAUUAUACAAUCAGCUGUUUAUUUAAAGAAACGAUAGUUUUCCUACUCACAUGUUACCGACAACCGAUGGAGCACAUAUAUGUGAAACUUGAAAAUGUGACAUUUCUUAAGCCAGUGGAGAAAGGCUACAAUAAGAUGAGUAACGCCAUACAACAAAAUGCUACAACAAAUGAAUUUUUAAAAAUUGAAAACGAAAACGUUCUCACAGUCGAAUGAGCGAAAACGCUAAAAAUGGAAUUUACUCUCAGCUUCAGCUCUAUGAGAGUCGUACAGGCAAUUGUGUUUGUAUGGCUCGAACUAGCGACAUACCACACCACAUGCCACCGCCUCUAUUCAACAACCGCACCAAUAAUUAAAUCGUAGUGAAAAAAAUUUAAAUAUCAGCACAGAAAACAAUACAAUCAAUUACAAUAUUGUUGAUAGAAUUCGAAACAGACAUGCAUGAAUGUGUGUGUACGUGUAUAAAGAAAAUCGUGGAUAAAAGUCAAUUGCAUUUAAGUUGGCUUAGCUUGGUUGGCAAUACAAGUUGGGUUAUUAACAUAAUUUAUAGUUUUGUGAUGGCAGCGGGAAGGUGCCAAUGGGUAUAAAUGAAAGAUACUGGAUAUAUAUAUAAAAUUCUAAAUGCAAACGUAUCAAAAAUAUCGUUUUAUGACUUGCUCUUAGCUCUUAAUAUUUACCACUAACCAAACAACAUUUUGUUUUGUUAGUGUAUUUACCCAACUUUCCCAAAAAACAGGAUGUCGAUAUCGACGAUAAGAAUCGCCUGUUUGGAAACUGAGUAAGUUAUCGAUUGUCGGAAACAAACCCGAUCUGCGCAGGCACUAGGAGAACCUACAUUCUAAAUUUCAGUCCCUAGAUCUUAUGGGUUGCGUUCAUACAUACGGACAGACAAACAGACGGACGUGGGUGAUCAUGAAUAUAUGUAUAUACUUUUUGGGGUCGGAGGUGCUUACUUCUGUCUGUUAAAUACAUUUACAUUUGUAUAGGUACAAUAUACUAUUUUUGCCCAUUUUUAAUGGGUUCAGGGUAUAAAAAUUGUUGAGUCCUGCAUCUCUGCAACAACCACAAGAUUAUAUGCGAAAUAGUAGCUUGUUGAUGUUCCGGAAGAGUAUGGAAUUUGGACACCAUCGACGUCAUUAGUUUGGCAGCUUGAAGAUAUUGAGUCACAUAGAUACAAGAAAGAGAAAAAGGAAAAUAGGAAAAGUCUAGAACAACCUCGAGAGUAUAGACCACGGGGCAACAGAUCCGUAGGAAACUAUCAUAACAAUCAAUAGAAAAAAUAAUAACGAAAUACGCUGUGACAAUCGCAGCCAUAACGAAAGUUAUGACACACAAUUUUAAACUAGGAAGGAAAAAAAAAAAUUCUUGCAAUCAUGUCUUAGGAAAGCACUUCCGACCAACAAUAUAACAAUCGAAAAGAUACCCAGGAAAUUCGCAGACUAAGAGUUGCAUGCGUAAUGUGAAGGAACAACAUGAUCAACUGCAUAAUUAUAACGUGGACGCAAAGAUCCUCGACGUGGCACGAAACAGAAUACUUAAUAAUAAAAAAAAUUCACCAUUACCACAUACCCUGGUAUUAUCUGGUAAUCCCUCCAAGUUUUAAAUUAACAUUAAUGCAACAUGUUAUUUUAUUAGUCCUAAACUGGUACCACAAGCAAAUCAAGACAACAAACGCCAAUAGCGAUUAAAACAGUACUGAACGUACACCAAUUAUAUAACAACGAUUCUCCCACUUUUUAAAGAAUUUUCAAAUCAUUUGCUUUAUUGUUACCUAUAUUCCAAUUCCAACCAUUGGUUUGAUUGGAAUACAUAUUCUACAACAAUGAGAAGCGAUUGUAAACAUUCCACACCGAUCUCUUCAAACAAAAACUUUCAACAUGCAGAUCAAACUCAUAGAUAAAAUAGUGUCAAGCUUACACACUAUAGAGGAAGAAUCAAAGGAAAUAACACAACAACCCGUUAAUAUCGAAAACGGCACAUUCGGGUGCUAACCAACAACCAUUAGCAAAAACUUAUUUAUACCAGGAGGACUGUAUUCUGCCAAAAACACCUUAAGUGUUAUGGCAGUUUAAACCCUUUCAAAAGAGACGCAGAAAUUUUGUUUCGAUACACGACUUGAAGUCGAAAAGUAUAGGAAACAAGAAUAUUUGAAAGCCAAGCUUAUAUUAGAGCCCAAUAAUGAAACAAUCUGCAAAAAACAAGUAAUAAAAAUCUCUUUAAAAUUUCCAAACUUGUUUUACAUAGAGUCAAGACAACGGACGAUAUACCAAUUUACACCAAACCAUUCCGAUGAAUGAUUGGAUCAGGAUAUCAGUAAACACCUUUUGGGUACCAAAAAAG